CAGACAAUCUCUGAAGAGUAUUGAUAAUGGCUGGGGUAACCCAUCUUGUAAAGACGCUGCCCAAAAGAAGGCAAUUGCAAACCUCUUCUGUAGAUACAUUUGCCAAGAACAAUCAUGGUCGUGAGACCGUGAUCACCCACAUCAUAUGACAUGAUACAUAAUGGUCUUGAUAAUGAUGUAUACCUUAUACAACCUUGAGAUACAUCUGAAUUUCAGAUAACCAGCCCUUCCAGUUUGCAUCAGAACUGACAAAUUAGUGUGGUAGCUGUCUGUAAACAGUGAAGAUGAAUAGCAAUGCAUUCCCUACCCUGCACCUAUUUCGUGAACUGGUUUUCCCUAGCUGGCUCCAAGAUGUCACUGUGGAAGUCAAUCUUCACGACACUGAAUAGUCAGAGAAGGAAUUCCUGACCACCCAACAGUGUUGUUGGUAACUUCCAAAGACAUGGCAAAGCAUCAUCACACAUUAUAAUCCAGUGUCACUCAAGUCUUCAAAACAUAAAUUUGAGGAAUUUUACAGAUGCUGGAGAUCCGGAGUAAUACACACAAAAUGUUGGAAAAACUCAACAAGUCAGGCAGUAUCUAUGGAACUGGGUAAACAGUCAACAUUUCAAGCUGAGAGCUUUCUUCAGGACUGAGAAGAAAGGGGGAAGAAGCCAGAAUGAAAAGGUCAAGGGGGUGGGUGGAAUAAGGGGAAGGAGGCUAGUGUGAAAGUGAUAGGUGAAGCCAGGUGGGUGGGAAAGGUCAAGCUGGAGAUGAAGGAAUCUUUUAGGAGAGGAGAAUGGACCGUAGAAGAAAGGGAAGGAGGGGAAGUCAUAAGAAAGGUGAGAAGAGGUAAAAGGUCAGAGUGGGGAACAGAGGAAAGGGGAAGGAGGAAAAUUUAGUUACCAGAAGGUGAAAUCGAUAUUCAUGUUAUUGGGUUGAAGGUUACCAGAUGGAAUAUAAGGUGUUACUCCUCCACCCUGAUGGUAGCCUCAUCUUGGCACAAGAGGAGGCCAUGGACUGACAUGUCAGAACAGGAAUGGGAAUAGGAAUGAAAAUGCUUGGCCACCAGGAAAUCCGGCUUGUGGCAUACGGUGUGGAGGUACUUGGUGAAACAGAUCUCCAACUUAAGACAAGUCUCACCAAUGUAGAGAAGGCCGCAUUGGGGGCACCGGACACAAUAGACAACCCUAGAUGUUUCACAGGUGAAGUGUUGGGGCCCUGAAUGGAGGUGAGAAGGUGGAGUUGAUUUUACUCCACUGCCAUCAAAUGUGUGGGCUUGAGGUAAAUUUGCCAGGUCCGAAGAAGAGGUGCAGGCAGAUUUCCCCAUCUUGAGUUCUCGGGAGUUCCAGCAAAUUGGUGGUUUGCCUCUGCAGAGGAGGAUGGCGGUGACCAAUCGUCUGGCAAGAAUCUGCCAGGGCCAAUAUGAACAGGACAAGCAACGUCUGUUUUGCCAGUCUGAUUGAAGAAUUGACAGGGAACCAAGUAGUUUGAACCACAAAAUAAUUCCAGCACAGUGGAAGGAUUGAUUCAGACUUACAGAGCAAGUCCUCACACCUCAGGAGAGAAAAGCAUCUACCUUAUCUUUGGUGGGCACCUUACUGCUGCAACAUUCCUUUUUCCAAGGGUUUCCCAACCUUUUUUAUGCCAUGGACACGUACCAUCAACCGAGGAGUUCAUGGACCCCAGAUCGGGAGCCCCAAGUUAAGUGACUAUUUUUCUUACCUUAAUGCUUUUACCUGCAGCCAGGCUUUCAUUCAAUCUUCUUGAAUCUCUUGACAUCCAAUGGACAUGCCAGUAAUGAUCCUGGUUGUGGUGGAGGAAGGGGGCGUUCACAUACUAGGAUUAUCACCGUUUAGAAAUGCAACUCAGGCAGAAACACCUAUUUAGCCUACUGAAUUUUCAGACCAACAAAAAAGUCAGCAUCUACAGAGAGAAAUGGAUAAAUCCAGAUGAAGGAUCUCAACCUGAAAAUUUGCUGUCCAUUUCCCUACUCUGAUAUCGAACCUGCUGAGUUCUUCUAGCUUUAGGCAUCGGAACAUAGGGGCAGAAAAGGCAAAUUAAGAAUCUCUCAGGGUGGGGGCAGUACUCUCACAUUGUACCACCAUUUUAUAAAGAAGCUAGUUGCCAAACUAUGAGAAAUGUCCUCUGUAUCUUUGCCUUGUGAUGAUAUUGGGGAAAAGUCCAUAUUGAAUGCUGGUAGGAUCCUGAUGCCUGUCCCUGCAAGGAAUAUAUUGUUCAUGAUAAAAAUAGAAAAUGUCUGUCCUGCUGAGUUCCUCCAGCAUUUUGUGUGAGUUCCUCUAGCAGCUGUUUUUUUUUGUUCCAUCUUUCAGCAUUUGCAUUCUCUUGUGUCUCCUUCAGACUUGAAUCUUUCAAAACAUGUCAAGCUUCCAAUUUCUUUCCUAUUAGAAAUAAUGGUGUCUAUUCAAGUCCCAACCAUAGGCAAAAUUUGCCAUUAAAAUAAUCUUGUCCACAGUGUGAAAAUUACUGAAAAUUUGCAUUUUUAUGCAAAACAAUCCUUGCAAGCAAUCACAGAGAGAUAAAUGCAAUGGGUUAAUCAUCAACAUUGUUUGUCAGAAGUGAAAUUUCCAUUGUUCUUUUUAUAGAGGACAGUGUCAUUCCGUGAUUCAAAGGCUUGUGAGCUCCUGAGAUCCUGAAAUCGAUGACACCUGGAGUUUAGUCACCCCGGUGCUUAGUUCCUUGCAGGGUCACCCCUAGCAGGAGGUUCCCGAGAAAGAGCGAUCCAACCUAGACCUCUAUGGUGGAGCUCGCAGGAGAUACCACGAUGGCAGUGAAAGCAGAAGAAUGCUGCAGCAGUGAAAGGCCCCCUUCAUUUUGCACUCCAUGCCACUAGACCCUGAACCCGAUUUGUUAAGGAUUGUGAGGUGGUUGCCCAUGCAUCAACCUCCCCGCGAUAUACAAAGUGACAGGCAUCCUCCAUCAAGGGAGAAAGUCAUUCUUGAUUCAAGUGAUCGCACUACUACUAGAGGACAGUGACAGCAUGACAAGGUGAGGCACACUCUGUCAUAGAAUUAUAGAGUUAGCGAAUACUGCAGCACAGAAACAGACCCUUCAGCCAAUCUAAUCCAUGCCAAGCUAUUAGUCAGCAUAGUCCCAUUGGCCUGCGCCAGACCAUUGUCCUCAAUACCACUCUCAUCCAUGCACGUAUCUAAAUUGCUCUUAAAUGUUGAAAUCGAACCUACAUCCAUCACUUGUGCUCACAGCUCAUUCCACACUUGCAUCAUCCUCUGAGUGCCAAGUUUCCCCCUCAUGUCACCUUAAACUUUUCACCUUUCACCCUUAACCCAUGACCUUGAGUUGUAGUCUCACCCAAUCCCAGUGGGAAAAGUUUGCUUGAAUUUAAUCUUUCUAUACCCCUCAUAAUUCUGUAUACCUCUAUCUAAUCACCCCUUGAUCUUCUAUGUUCCAAGUCUGAACCUAUUCAAUCUUUCCCUACAACUCAAGCCCUUAAAUCCCAGCAACAUCCUUGUAAAUUUUCUCUGUGCUCUUUCAGCCUUGUUUACAUCUUUCCUGUAGGUAAGUGACCACAGCUGCGCACAGUACUCCAAAUUAGGCCUCACCAACAUCUUAUACAACUUCAACAUUACACCCCAUCUUCUUUAAACAUUAUGGUAAUUUAUGAAGGCCAAUAUUCCAAACGUUUUGUUUAUUACGCUAUCUGAGAUGCCACUUCCAAGGAUUUAAGGGUCUAUGUUUCCAGAUCCCUUUGUUCUCCUCAGUGCCCUACAACUCUCUGUGUAAGAUCUACCCUUGUUUUGGUCCUCUCAAAGUGCAACACCUCACACUUACCUGCAUUAAAUUUCAUCUGCCAUUUCUCAGCCCAUUUUUCCAGCUAGUCCAAAUCUUUCUGCAAGCUUUGAUAGUCUUCCUUGCUGUCCACUACACCUCUCAGUCUUGGUGUCAUCUGCAAAUCCAGUUCACCACAUUUAUCAACCAGAUCAUUGAUAUAGAUGGCAAAUACCAAUGAACCCAGCACUGAUCCCUAUGGCAGACCAUGGGACACAGGCCUCCACUCAGAGGAGCGACCAUCUACAACCACCCUCUGACUUCUCCCGCGAAGCCGUUGUCUAAUCCAAUCUUUCUUCACAACCAUUCCUCUAUCUGUCUGACACUCUGGUUCCCAUACCACUGCAACUCUGGUUUAAACCUCCACUGCCCACACUCUCACUCCCAUGCAGCACAAGCAAGCCUUCCCACUGAGAUAUUAGUCCCCUUCCAGUUCAGGCGUAAACUGUACCUUCUGUACAGGUACCACCUUCCCUGGAAAGACAGACCAAAAAUCAAAAAAAUCUGAAGCCCUCUCUCCUGCAUCAUCUCCUUAUGCAUGUAUUAAACUGUAUGACCUUCAUACUUCUGGCCUAACUAGCAAGUUGGCAUGGGUUGUAAUCAUUGAUAGCUUUCUUCGCUGUCUACUGAUUUGGUGUUAUCCAUGUUAUCAGUUAAUUUGAUAUUUCUGUGCUUAGCCUUUGCUGACCUACAUUUUGGAUGCAUAAGAAGGGGUCAAUGUAGUCAGUCACAUAUGCACUGCUUAAAGGAGGUCCAGACCGAGAGGAGCACACAAGCAAGAAUUAAAUCUGAUCCAGGAAGCAGCGAAGGAUUGCUCGAAGAGGAAGAGAGUGGGAUCAAGAUAUUCAGAUGCUGCCCAGAGGUCUAAUGGGAAAAUUUGGAAAGAUGUGACUAAGCAGGGGGUGUGGAGGCUCACUGAAGCCAGACAGUGGGAGUGGAUAGAUAAGGAGGCAGGAUAAAAGUCACACAUUCAGGACGUUGAGUAGGGCCUGAGAAAUUCAGUGACCUCAGAUCUGUGGUGAUGAUGAAUGAAGUCACUUCGAAAUGCCACAUCAACCCAUCUGCAGCACAAUCUCCACCAUUCACCCAUCAUCAGUCAAGAGUACCUGAACUGACAUGCUCCACUGCACCUCCACGUACUUGGUGUUUCUGCAGUCUCACCCCCAUGUCUCACAGCUAAUCAUGUAUGUCUUCCGAGCUGAUGACACACUUCCUUAACUCUUGCAGGGCAGUGAACAUUCAGAGCUGAUGGACUGAGGGCCCAUUUGCUUAAUCUCUUGGAGAUAGUGCAAGUCAUGACUGAGGAAGCCAUUAUAGAGGCUGUAGCUUGGAAUGGAGAUGAAACUAUUAAAGAAUGAUAAUUUCUUUGGCAGUUUGAAUGGGGCACGACUGCACAAGCGCGUGAAGGUCGGCCUCUGAGAUCAGCAGGAGAGUUUAAAAAGCGGAACGGGCGACGGAGUAGUGGGAGACGGAGUAGGAAGGCUUUGGCUUGAGAGGCUUCGGCGAGCAGGGGCUGAGGACGAGCUUGCUCCCAGUGGGGUGGAGGAAACCAGAGGUCCAUGAGCCAGUCCUCAUCGGAGGAUCAGAGUUAGAGAGGGUCGGCAACUUUUAAGCUCAACAGGCGACUGAAGAAGUUCGGCAUGAGCCCCCAAAUCCUCAAGACCUUCUACAGGGUCACCAUCAAGAGCAUCCUGACUGACUGUACCACCGCUUGAUACGGGAACUGCACCAACCUUAAUUGCUGGGCACUGCCGAGAGAGGUACGGACAGCCCAGUGGAUGUGAACUUCCCUCCACUGAGGACAUUUACAGUAGCAGGUGCAGAAAAAAAGCCUGGAAGAUCAUCAGGGACGCCAGUCACCCCAACCAUAAACUGUUUCAGCUGCUUCUCUCUGGCAAAUGGUACCACAGCAUUAAAGCCAGGAGCAACAGGCUAUGGGACAGCUUCUUUCUCCAAGCCAGUAGACUUUUAAAUUCACAGUGUGAUUUACAGUCCUGCGUUUAAAGAAAAGCUGGAGAGCUUUAAGUUGUGACUAUAGAAUGACCUCAUCAGUAUGACUGGAUUUAAUCAAUGACAAUCUCUCUCGGGGAACAUGAGGAUGUUCUUAUCUACAAACUGCAUUAACCGCAGGAGCUUAUGCACUACGUAAGGUGCAGUAUUCCUAGCCAAUCUCCGAAGGUGUUGUACACUCUGAAGUUCAGUUUCAGAUUUACCAUUGAUGAUAACAACUUGGCAGCACUUCUUGUAUUCCUAUUCUCUGAUGUCAGAGAUAUCAAGGAACCAAUGACUUCGAAAUGACCUGAAAAGGUAACUCAAUUAUGCUUUUGAAUUAUAUCUUGGUGCCUUAAUAGGGAGUCAUCAGGUUGGAGAUUCAUCCAUGGACAUAACAAAUUGCAAAUAGAUCUAUUUUACAAUCAUCUUUCUGCAGAUCAAUUUCCCUUCAAGUGUCAUUGGAAUAGUUCUAAGUGUAAACUGAAGAGUACGCAGCAAGUCAUCGAGACUGUAGGCGGGAGUUGGACCAACUUUGUUUACUCUCCCACGAUGUUUACUCCUCUAUCCAUGACGCUGAGGCUGUGAGACUGCCUGCCCUGGCUGCUGUGCUUCGCGUCUGCGAGAUUCACAGUGAUUUACCCUGCUAAUAUGACAAACUGAGACCGAGGCUUGAGGCCUGCUCUGGGGGUUCGGAUCUAAGGACCCAAUCUGAUUCGGAAUGCUGUGCUCAUUUCUACUGUUUGCAUGCUUUUUUCUCUUUCUCUGUGCAUUGGGUGUUGGAUUGAUUUUUUCUAAAUUGGGUUCUUCCAGGACUCUUGCUUUAUGGCUGCCUGUAAGCAGACAAAUCUCAUGGUUGUAUAACUUAUACAUUUUUUGAUAAUCAAUGUAUUUGAAUUUUGAAUAUAUGUCUCUCCUCUAAAUGUUUUACCAUGCAAGUUUCAGUUUUUUAGCUCUCCAUUCUUCAACAGGCAGACACCGCAUGUUAACGAAGAAGUAAAAGGAAAACAUUCCAGCUAUUAAGGCCAAUGCAAUGAAAAUGCAUUCAAAGAAGCAGAAAGAUAAUUGUUCACUAAAUGCUGAAACACUGGCAUCAAUGUGCCAAAAAAUUACUUGUUUAUACUAAAGAAAUGCAAUUGCUUGAGGCUGUUUAGUACCUGGAGUGAUUGGAUCAGGCUAAUGGGAGGUGUGACCACUCUGAAUAAUUUUGCACAAAAAUAGACCUUUUUUGUUCUAAUUGUGCUUUGUUCUUGUAAAAUCUGUGCGUAAUUUAUGCUUAAUUUGUGUUUUAUGGUGAACAGUGCUUUAGGAUGCACUGUGCCUAUGAUACUCCAGCAGGUAAGAUUUACAUUGCAUUUGUGCUUAUGGGAUUAAAAUCAACUUUGUCUUUCCAUCCAAGCAGGGGAAUUAACAGCUAACCAUUAUGUAUUAAGAAAAUGUAGAUAAAAGAUUGUACUAGUACCUGUAACAUACCUCAGGCUCAAAUGUCCUUAAUCUUUUGGCUGUAUAUUUGAUUUGAGGCUUUGGCCUGUGUAUAAAUUCAUGUCCUCUAUGUUAUAUACAGAGAUGUGUUAGUGACAGAACAAUACAUGCUAUAAUGAUAUUAGAAAUUAUGUUACUUUUGAGUGGGGGAGCUUUUGAGCAUGAAUACUACUUUAUAUUUCAUUAGGUGGUGGGGUGGAGAUAUGUUUGUACUAAAGGAGGUGUAAGGCGCUUCUUCCCUCGUUAGCCUGUAGGUCACCUUUGGGCCAGGUCUAGUGCCUGCUUAGCACCCCAGUCCCCCAAUCAGGGUCACAUGAAGCCAUGACAGCAGGUGGUGGAUGGUCAGAUGAGCAGUUGAUGUGUAUCACAAGUCCUGGUUAUGUGACCACUGACGCCAGGCAGACAAUCUCUGAAGA
This is a long non-coding RNA of Hypanus sabinus (Atlantic stingray), 7673 nucleotides long. RefSeq lists it as uncharacterized. The transcript has 9 exons. Lineage: Eukaryota; Metazoa; Chordata; Chondrichthyes; Myliobatiformes; Dasyatidae. The record is from RefSeq and is a predicted model, not a curated record.